This 253-nucleotide ribosomal RNA is filed under the name uncultured bacterium. RNAcentral's name for it is "partial 16S ribosomal RNA". It matches the Rfam family "Bacterial small subunit ribosomal RNA", at positions 524 to 776 of the family's 1533-position model. The record is from RNAcentral.
UACGUAGGGUCCGAGCGUUGUCCGGAAUUACUGGGCGUAAAGAGCUCGUAGGUGGUUUGUCGCGUUGUUCGUGAAAACUCACAGCUUAACUGUGGGCGUGCGGGCGAUACGGGCAGACUUGAGUACUGCAGGGGAGACUGGAAUUCCUGGUGUAGCGGUGGAAUGCACAGAUAUCAGGAGGAACACCGGUGGCGAAGGCGGGUCUCUGGGCCGAUACUGACGCUGAGGAGCGAAAGCGUGGGGAGCGAACAGG